GAUGAACGCUGGCGGCGUGCCUAAUACAUGCAAGUAGAACGCUGAAGGAGGAGCUUGCUCUUCUGGAUGAGUUGCGAACGGGUGAGUAACGCGUAGGUAACCUGCCUGGUAGCGGGGGAUAACUAUUGGAAACGAUAGCUAAUACCGCAUGACAACAGUUAUUGCAUGAUAACUGUUUAAAAGGGGCAACUGCUCCACUACCAGAUGGACCUGCGUUGUAUUAGCUAGUUGGUGAGGUAACGGCUCACCAAGGCGACGAUACAUAGCCGACCUGAGAGGGUGAUCGGCCACACUGGGACUGAGACACGGCCCAGACUCCUACGGGAGGCAGCAGUAGGGAAUCUUCGGCAAUGGACGGAAGUCUGACCGAGCAACGCCGCGUGAGUGAAGAAGGUGUUCGGAUCGUAAAGCUCUGUUGUAAGAGAAGAACGAGUGUGAGAGUGGAAAGUUCACACUGUGACGGUAUCGUACCAGAAAGGGACGGCUAACUACGU
RNAcentral lists this ribosomal RNA (494 nucleotides) under uncultured bacterium. RNAcentral describes it as "partial 16S ribosomal RNA". It matches the Rfam family "Bacterial small subunit ribosomal RNA", at positions 28 to 506 of the family's 1533-position model. The record is from RNAcentral.